GGGGGUAUAGCUCAGUGGUUGAGUGCUUGCUUAGCAUGCUUAAAACACUGGGUUCCAUUCCCAGCACCACUA
This 72-nucleotide transfer RNA is filed under the name Urocitellus parryii (Arctic ground squirrel). Its description in RNAcentral is "Spermophilus parryii (Arctic ground squirrel) tRNA". It matches the Rfam family "tRNA". From Rfam's summary of the family: Transfer RNA (tRNA) molecules are approximately 80 nucleotides in length. Their secondary structure includes four short double-helical elements and three loops (D, anti-codon, and T loops). Lineage: Eukaryota; Metazoa; Chordata; Mammalia; Rodentia; Sciuridae. RNAcentral also lists the same sequence under 1 other name. The record is from Rfam by way of RNAcentral.